This is a long non-coding RNA of Bos taurus (domestic cattle), 669 nucleotides long. NCBI's taxonomy places the organism in Eukaryota, Metazoa, Chordata, Mammalia, Artiodactyla, Bovidae. The record is from Ensembl.
GUAUGAAAGUCUCCUCAGAAAAUCAGAUUAAGAUUAGAUAAGAAAAGGGAAGGAAGUUGAAGGUCUUACAGGAUAUUUUUAUUUGGCUGUGAUGCUGAUAAACAUCAACUUUCUACUAUAGAAAUCCCAUGGAUAUGCUUGGUGUGUUUGGACAGGCAGUGGGCCCAGAGGCAGCAGAGGGCUCUGGACUCAAAUUUUCCCAGUCUUACCUCCAGAGUGGAAAGGGCUGUCUCUGCUAAGCUCAACACACACAUUCCAUGGGAAGGACUCCAAUUUUCCAGGAUGAAGAUGUUAAAACCCCUGCCUAGUCACAGAGACAGAGUACAGGUGUUACCUGUAUGAGGACCAGAGUGCAGGUCCUCAGAUAAGGCUGAUGAUCUUCUCAGAACAGUACCAUCUGCAGGCAUGUGGUUAUCAAAGGAGACUCCUGAGUCAAUCAGAUACAGAAACAGGAUUCACAGGCUGAGGCUAUUAUUAAUCUGUUAUUGCAGAUCUUUAGGAAAGGAACAAGGAGUUCUACUUGCCUCUCUGUAGGUGAUUACAAUUACAGUUGUCAGGGGGAGUGUGUAAUUUACUUGGUUCUGUCUCCUCACAAGAAAAAUUUGAAGUGACCGACGUUAAAGCCCUCGGUGCAUCACAACUCUCAGUGUUACAGCUCCAUGUUACAGC